GAAGGGGUUACGGCGCUCCCAGCUGACAGUCAGCUGAUUGCGCCCUGAUUGACAGCCCCGAAAAGUUUCCUUGUUUCUAUACUAUUAUGCUAAUGCCGGCGGCUGCAGGCAGCCCAUUGGGCCGCCCGCCCAGCCAAUUUGCCAUUCGGAGGCUGACGUCAGGAGCGCUAUAAAACUCUGCAAUGCUUUUAAACUCUCCUGCUGGAUGAAACCUUUAAAAUAUUUUUCAUCUUCUUGCCGUAGCUUUGGGGUUGAGUUGUGUUUUGUUUUUUUUUUUCUCUCUCUCUCCUUUUUUUUUUUUUUAUGAUUGUUAUUAUUUUGGUUGCGAUAUCGACUUUGAUUUUUUUUUUGUCUUCGGUCUCUUCUCCCUCCUCCUUUCCCCGAUGAACCUCUCUCCUCGCUUUGCACUUUGCAUGAGAAAGCCCAGAGGAAAGGCACCAUGAAGUGUUAAAAAUAACCAAACUGAACCUAAAAAAAAAAAAAAAAGAAAAGAGAUUUACUCGCAACAACACCAGCUAACACUUCCAGCUGCAGUUUGCAAGCUGCAAAAAGAGAGAGAGGAGAGAGAGAGAGAGGAGGAAAAAAAAAAAAAACCUUUAUGCAAAAGGCGAAUAGCGAGAGCCCCUCGCUCUGAUGCAUCAGCAGCAGCGGAGACUCUGCAAGGGAUAACGCGGAGCCGGAGCGAGAGCGGCCGGGGCGGAGCGGAGCGGAGCCGGAGCCGAGGCUGCGGCGAGAGGCAGCGGCAGGAGGAGCGGUGCGGAGGGGUGCGGAGCGGUGCGGAGCGGUGCGGAGCGGAGCUCGCCCGGCAGCAAGCUGGCUCACCCGGCGGCAACUCAGAGCAGUCCCCUCGCUCCCGGAGCGCACCCUUUCUGGAGGACUGUCAGCAGCAAAAGGAUGGCAUCAGAACUGGCAAUGAGCGGCUCCGACCUGCCCACCAGUCCCCUGGCCAUGGAAUAUGUUAAUGACUUCGAUCUGAUGAAGUUUGAAGUGAAAAAGGAGCCGGUGGAGACCGACCGCAUUAUCAGCCAGUGCGGCCGCUUGAUCGCCGGGGGCUCGCUCUCCUCCACCCCGAUGAGCACGCCCUGCAGCUCGGUGCCCCCGUCCCCCAGCUUCUCGGCGCCCAGCCCCGGCUCCGGCAGCGACCAGAAGGGCCACCUGGAAGACUACUACUGGAUGACGGGCUACCCGCAGCAGCUCAACCCCGAGGCGCUGGGCUUCAGCCCGGAGGACGCGGUGGAGGCGCUCAUCAACAGCAGCCACCACCCGCUGCCCGGCGCCUUCGAUGGCUAUGCUAGAGGGCAGCAGCUGGCCGCGGCCGCCGGCUCCGGGGGCUCGGGGCCGGCCGAGGAGAUGGGCUCGGCGGCCGCCGUGGUGUCGGCGGUGAUCGCCGCGGCGGCGGCGCAGGGCGGCGCGCCCCACUACCACCACCACCACCACCACCACCCGCACCACGGCGCCGGGGGGCACCCCCACGGCGCGGCGCCGGGCAGCGCGCCGCCUUCCUCCUCCUCCUCCUCCUCCUCCUCCUCGUCGUCGUCGGCCGCCGGCUCCGGAGGCGGCGGCGGCGGCGGCGGCGGCGGCGGCGGGGGCGCCGGGGGGCUGCACCACCCGCACCACGGCGGAGGCGGCCUGCACUUCGACGACCGCUUCUCGGACGAGCAGCUGGUCACCAUGUCCGUGCGGGAGCUCAACCGGCAGCUGCGGGGCGUCAGCAAGGAAGAGGUGAUCCGGCUGAAGCAGAAGAGGAGGACCCUCAAAAACAGGGGCUAUGCCCAGUCCUGCCGCUUCAAGAGGGUCCAGCAGCGGCACGUCCUGGAGUCGGAGAAGAACCAGCUGCUGCAGCAAGUGGAGCACCUAAAGCAGGAGAUCUCCAGGCUGGUCCGGGAGAGGGACGCCUACAAGGAAAAGUACGAGAAGCUGGUCAGCAAUGGCUUCAGAGAAAACGGAUCCAGCAGCGACAACCCUUCCUCUCCAGAGUUUUUCAUGGGAGGCUGUGCAUAACUAAAGGAUCCGUCCGUGCAUCCAGAGCUUAGCUCCGGUGGGUCACCCAGGCAGCUCCAGUUGACUGACCGUCCCCUAGGUACCCGAGAGAAUCUUCUACAACGGUGAUGUGAAAUUCCCUGUUACCUGAGGUCAAAAAAAAAAAAGCACUGUAAGCACUGUCCAUUUGUGGAAGGGUAAUUCUGUAGUUUCCUGUGACAGCACAUUCAGAGCUUCAUUGACAUGGGAGCGGUGGCAGGUGAUGGCUCUGACUCCGAGUGUUGUUGCUGGAAGCACUGUAAGCUGUUGCAGAGUGAUGUACGUGGUGAGCCGCUUCUCAGAAGCCCAGUCAGCACAAACGAGAUCCCCGUCUUCUGUCCGAGCCACCCACACCACCAGCAAGCACCUUUGAAGCAGAGGGUACAUGGAUGCUUUGUGUGCAGUGGUGGGAACUAGGUUGUACAAAACCUCAUUGAAACCACUUCCACACUGUACCCACGCUCAACCUGUUUGUCUUGAAACGUCGUCUCAGAGAGAAGGCAGCAGAUGAAAAACAAAGUAUUAGACCCAUUUUGCGUUUCAACAAGUGCAGCAUGCAAACUGCAAAGUGUUUGUUUUACAUGUUCUGGAGGAUUUGGCAUUUCAUGGUGUGAGAAUUGGCUCCCUGCUGUGCGAAGUAUUUCAGUGUGGAUUUGCGCUGUGUGGGAAACGCUGGCAUAGUGGAAAAGAGAGGGGGAAGCUCUGCUGGGAAAGCAAGAGGGGGCUGGAUGUUAAUUCACUUGGGGCAAAAGCCUGUCCUAUCUCAAGGGGAUGGUUUGUCUUGGACAGGGUAGAAUUGACUUUUGGAGUGGUAGAGGAGGACAGGAAGUCGUUACUGGAUGCGUGUGGAAAUAAGGGAUCUCAGAUAAUUUUAGAGACGUAAAAAAGUUCAGCGAAAGUCCAUAGAUUUUUCUGGCUCAGACAAUCCCACCCUUUGAAAUGCACCCAGACAUAUGGUUAUGGACUCCAUCUUUUGAAGUGUAUGUAGGCCUUUUACCGUAUAGUGUCUUCUUCUGAGUCUUUAGGUUCAAGACCUUUGGCAGGAGUGAUUUACCCUCAGACAGAUCUUCGUGGGGCCAGGAAAUGGGCUGCCCUGCUUUAUGGGAAACGGGUUAUUACGUCUCACCAAAUUCAAGGUACCUGUCUGUGGGGAGCAGGUGACUUCUCCUGUGCUAGGUCUUCUCAAAAAGUGCUGAGAAAUUCUUCAUAUGUUUCUGUGAUGCUAUGCUAGAUUUUAUAAUACUCGAGUACAACAAUUCAUUGAGCAAUUCUGAAAUCUGUUUUCUCCAAAAGAUGAGCAAUGUUGUACAACAUUGUAGUUGUAUCACCAUAUAAAAUAAAUUUAAAAAAAUGCUGUAGAAGGUUUUGUAUAGCAAAAGGAAUAGUAGCAUUUAGUCCAUCCUAAGAAUUUUUUGUAAUUGCCAGCUAUUAUAUUGGAACUUAUUGCAGCUCAAUAACUGAACAUGGGAAGGUAUCAUUUUAAAUAACUUUCUCUGAUUUCUCCUUGUCCACAUAAAGUGAUGCCACACCCAGUCAAUGGCAGAGGCAGAUGAGUCACCCAGCUAAGAUGCAGCUUUCCGGGGUAUGUUGCUCAUGAGCUGUCAUACAGAAAAGAGGUGACAGUGUUUGGAUGUACAGGUUCCCCAUAAAUCCUAAUCGUGGCACUAGCAACCCUUGCCAUCUUUUUUAUCAUUACUGUUCUAUCAGUUUUGCAGGGUCAGAGGUAGGGACUCAGAUCCUCAGCUCUGACCUUGGCAUCUCCCUGUUGUAUUUCUCUAUAACUCUGCACACUCCUUACUCCCAGGGACAGUUGUGCAGAGAGAGGGCAGCUGUGUAGUUCUCAGAGCCAGCUGCUGCCCGCUGUGUGCUGCUCUUUCUGUUUCUCAAAUCAAACUCUCACUAAACCCACUAGAAAAGCUUCUUUUGACUUUGGUGGCCAUUGUCCUGAGCUGUUACCAGAAACAUGAAAUAGGUGUGUUAAAGCACAAAUGGGUUUUCCUCAAAGGCAGCCUCAUUUUGUGAGUAGCCAAGCAUCUUUUGCUGUACGAGAAGCACUCUCAAUUUCUGUUGGAUUCAGUGGGAGCUUUGGUGAUCAGAUCCUGCUGGGCGGUGCUCAGCCUUUGGCAGGAUAGGACCCUUUUGUGUUAUGAACCAUUCAGGGAGCUAAUGCUGAAACACAUUCAUGUAACUGUUUGAAUGCCCAGGUCAUACAGUUUAUAGAGAUCUGCUCAGAGGUGAGUGUGAAAUAGUAAUGCCUUGUACUUCCUGAGUGCCUUUCAUCUUUCCAAAUAUUUAUUAAUUAGCCCUCAAAACACCCCUGUGGGGCAGAUAAGAGAUGGAUGGUUACAGCUCCUUUCACACACCGUUGGAAUCAAGCAGCUGUCUGACUGUAUAAAACAGCAUUGCCCACAGUUUGGGGCAGAUUAGGAAGUAGAUAACAAACCUCUAUCUUGGUGCAGAAAGAGUUUAGCUAGGCAGAAUUUAAUUACCUCUGCUGGAACUUGGCCAGUCAGUCAAGGCUCACCUCACUCCUUUCAUUGCGUUCACCAUGGAGUCUGUAACUCCAUCGGGUUUUGUCCCACUCAGAGGAUGACCCCUUGCUUCAGACAGUUGCCCCAUGUCUGAAUCCAUUCUGGGUCCACUGUACAGCAGGACCUGACCUGCUUUGGCCACCUGGUGAAAUCUUUUGGGGUAGCAGCACAAGCUGGCCUUGGUAACAGUCCUUUAUACCAGGAUUUCCCCAUCCCAAAGACGACUUGGGUUGGACCAACCUGAUCCUGCAGCAAAGGGCCAAGAAAGGUGUUUCAGUAUGAGACCUGCUGUUCUGAAGGGGCAGGUUUAGAAAGUGAGCUCUUCUUUAUGCUUUAGCUAAAGCCUCUGCUUUAUUUUUAGGGGGAAAAAAAAUAAUCUUUGUUCUGUCCAGUUUGAAAAUAUGGUCAAAAAUGUGCACCUUGGACUGGCUUCAGUGGGUGUAGACUUGGGACCAGACAUCUCCCUCCUGUGGCUCUGCACAUGUCUUAUUUCCCCAAAGAUUUGCCCCUGUGCCUUUUAGCAUUACAAGAGAAGUCCUGUACCUUAUUUUGAGAUUCCCUGUUUUGUAUCCCUGGGGCAAUCGGAGCCGCAGAGCUCGAAUUCCCUUCUGUUUGCUUUUGCAGCAUGUGAUUCUAGAGCAUAAAAGCUUUGAAGCUAGAACUCAAAUUUUACCUAUUUUGUCUUAAUGCUUUUUAAUAAAUCUCCAGACUCUCUUUAAAGCUUCAGAGAGUGCAAUUUAUUGUAAAACUACAGUUACUGUAUUUUAUGUCCACUGUAAUUGCUUGUUUCAUCUAAUUCUGAUUAUACUCAUGUAUAACAAGGAAUAGCUCCAGAUAGAAAGAGAUGAAUUAUUAAUCAAGAAAGUUUUGGAAUUAAGAUUUUAAACAUACAAACUAGAUAUAUGUGCAAUAUUUAGAAAUAGAUCUGGAAGAGCUUAUGCAACGUGCUUUAAUCAAAUCUUGAAAAGAAAAUGACUAAUACAUCAAAUCUUGAAAAGGAAUUGACCAAUAAAUCAAAUCUGGAAAUGGAAGUGACAGAUAAAUCAGGUCUAAAAAAGCAAACAAUCAAUAUAUCAAAUUCAUGGUGUGUUUAUUAAAGCAAGGGAUUGCUUGUAUGUGGCUGAACCUGCAUGUUACAAUCAUGCAAUUAAAUACUUGAAAUCCUUCAAAAACAAAUUACGUGUGCAGGUGUACACACACACACCUUUCUAUACAUUCACAAAGUAAACACUUGGCUUUCUGCGGUGUUUUGAGCCAUACUACCAGCACAUAAUAUUUGCUUAAGUCUCUGGGUGUGCCUCAGUAUGAAGUCUCACCAUUUCAAUAGCCACAUGUUUCUAGACCCGAACACCUUAUUAUUCCAAGUCUUUUAAAAAUGUUAAUUAUUAGUAUAGCCCAGAUUUUUAAAAUGAUGAGACGUGCCUCAUUCUGAAAGCUUUCUGCUUUUGUUUUCUGAUUGUAAUGGUACACUAGCAGCAACACAAACUCCUUUAGCUAAUUGAAAGGAUUUUGAUAGACAGCUUGGGCCCAAAGCAUAUUUUCAAGAUCAAGACUAUAAAAAUCUCACUAUGGAAAAAUCAUCAUUUGCCUCACUGACUUUGAUUUACAUCUAUGUUACAGAGCCAUGAAAUUUAAAAUAAGAUGACCUAAAUUGUCCUGUAAUAAUGUGGGCAUGAAUGUAUACUCCUGGUGGCAGAGUUUCUCUGUCACUAUACCAAAUGAAAUCUAGUUUUUAGUGCCAAUCAGUUAGGCAUCAUUAACCCUUUAAGAAUGUUAUUAGCAUUCUCACAAAGCUUUUCAUCAUGUAACAAAUGUUUUCAGACUAAACUUGUUGAGGUCAAAGAAUCCAAGCCAGUAAGAUUUAGGACUUUUUUGUCCUCUGGAAUAAUAUGUAUACACUCUUCAUCAUGCCAAGUAUAGAUUAUUAACAAUGGUUUUAAAGUUUGCAAAAAUGCAUAAAUUAGAUUAAAAACCAACAUUUCCUAAGCUAUUCCCAAUUUAUACUGGAAAUACAUACUCUGUCCCUAUCCUUUUUUUUUUUUUUUUUU
Anas platyrhynchos (mallard) is the source of this 6598-nucleotide RNA transcript. It is a transcript of the gene named MAF bZIP transcription factor, with no coding region annotated. Lineage: Eukaryota; Metazoa; Chordata; Aves; Anseriformes; Anatidae. The record is from RefSeq and is a predicted model, not a curated record.